Molecule: ribosomal RNA, 460 nt
Filed under: uncultured bacterium
Lineage: Bacteria
Description: bacterial SSU rRNA
Rfam family: Bacterial small subunit ribosomal RNA
Source: RNAcentral
AACGAACGCUGGCGGCAUGCCUAACACAUGCAAGUCGAACGAGACCUUCGGGUCUAGUGGCGCACGGGUGCGUAACGCGUGGGAACCUGCCUUUAGGUUCGGAAUAACUCAGAGAAAUUUGAGCUAAUACCGGAUAAUGUCUUCGGACCAAAAGAUUUAUCGCCUUUAGAUGGGCCCGCGUUGGAUUAGCUAGUUGGUGGGUAAAGGCCUACCAAGGCGACGAUCCAUAGCUGGUCUGAGAGGAUGAUCAGCCACACUGGGACUGAGACACGGCCCAGACUCCUACGGGAGGCAGCAGUGGGGAAUAUUGGACAAUGGGCGAAAGCCUGAUCCAGCAAUGCCGCGUGAGUGAUGAAGGCCUUAGGGUUGUAAAGCUCUUUUACCCGAGAUGAUAAUGACAGUAUCGGGAGAAUAGGCUCCGGCUAACUCCGUGCCAGCAGCCACGGUAAUGUGACUACUG